This is a long non-coding RNA of Nannospalax galili (Upper Galilee mountains blind mole rat), 716 nucleotides long. RefSeq lists it as uncharacterized. NCBI's taxonomy places the organism in Eukaryota, Metazoa, Chordata, Mammalia, Rodentia, Spalacidae. The record is from RefSeq and is a predicted model, not a curated record. The transcript is spliced from 3 exons.
UCCAAAAGGAUUGUCAUAAAGUUGUUGGAUGGACUCUGUCUCAGGAAAAAUUUCAUAUGUCCUGGCAACUUUUAUGCUCACUCCACUGACUCUGAAAGGUCAAGGUUUUUGUUUGUUUCUUUCUUUUUUUCUUUGUGGUGCUGGGAAGCAAAACCAGGGUUUCACACAUGAACUCCAUGCUGCAGAUUUAUUCCUGGGCUUAUGGAGAAAACGUCAAAUGGAGGAACCAUGACUUUUACAAAGUCAGUGAUAGGAUGCCAGCAAACGUUUAUAGAAGAUACAUUGUGACCAACACUGAAAUAGAGACUUUUGAACUGUCACUGAACCUGAAGAUGUAUCCUUGGUCCCAAAGAUGUUUUAGCAGUGAAGCUGGAAGGUGAACAUGGACACAAGCUACUGGGAACAGAGCUCAAGGCUGCUUCCUGGUUCUCCUUAAAUGCUGGCCCAACUCUUCUGCAGAGCUACAUGGUUAACUACUGUUAGGGAAGAGGGUAUCUCCCUUGUUCUUAGACCUUUGGAAAUGAUACACUCCUGUUACUUAGAGGGGGAGUAGUGAAAUGCUCACUUUUUAUAGCCUUAGGACACAAUAAUUGCUUGUGUUUUAAAUAUUUAGACUCACAAGUUUUGAAAAUCCUGGGCACUGACUUUAUCAGGCUAGUCUAAUUCUUAUUGAUAAGAUGUGUUAUGAAGUAUGAGCAUCUACAAUGAAUAAAGCA